GCCGGGGAGGGCGUCCGCGCGGGGGCCGCGGCUGCUUCCCCGCGGGCGUCCCCGGACGCCGCCUGCCUUGGCGCGGAGACGCCGCCGCGGGCGGCACCUUGGGGAAGACGUGAGGACGACUAGCGGGAACAGAACAGCGCUGGGUCCACGUCCCGACAGGCGUCAAGGGCCACCGCCAGCAUGGACAGCGCAGAGCCGCGCUCCGCCUGCAGCUAGGGGGGCGAUGUCCUCCCUUCUGGACACCGGAUACCUCUCCUCGAGCCCAGCAGUCCAGGCCGAGGUGUGGGAACAGCCCUCCCAAGGCGUGGUGCCCUGUCCCUGUCAACUCCCAACUGUGCACCAGGAGGGUGACCAGGCGCCGCCCUGACCCUGUGCUGUCUCCAGAUGGUUCUCUGGGUCUUCAGAGUGCUCGGAGGGGCUCCAGGCUUCCCCGCAGCACAGCCCUCUUCAGCACAUCCCUGCGAGUGGAACCAAUCCCUCAUCUCUGCCAUUAAGUUAAACGAGGACCCCUCGAGCCCCAAAGCUGGAGAAUGGAUGUGAUCAGUUAAUCUAGUGCAAGCUGUCGUGGGCAGCUCUCCACACACGAGAGCCAUCUCAGAGCGGGGAGCGCGGGAGCCUGGCGCGAGGGCAGGGGCAUGAGUGGCCGCGUCCCACUGGCGGAGAAAGCCUUGUCUGAAGGCUACGCCCGCCUCCGCUACAGGGACACCUCUCUGCUCAUCUGGCAGCAGCAGCAGCAGAAGUUGGAAUCGGUGCCGCCGGGGACGUACCUGAGCAGGAGCCGGAGCAUGUGGUACUCCCAGUACGGAAACGAGGCCAUCCUCGUCCGGGACAAGCACAAGCUGGAGGUCUCCCGGGACACGGGCCAGUCCAAGUUCUGCUCAGUCAUGUGACUCCAGUGUGGGAACCUGAGCCCAGGCGCCGCUCCUGAGGACAGCAGGCCUGCGUUUCGCUCGGGUGUUGAUUUCUAGUCCUUACCGGAGAUCCUGAGUGAUGAACACGAGGAUCCAACUGCAGUGUAGAAACCCACGCCCUUUAGCACACAGUGGUGAGACAGGACACUUUGCUGCAGGCCCUUGUAGUCGGUCAUGGUGACAUUCGAAUCCUCCAGGAGCUGCCGGGCACGGCCCAGGCCUCGGCACUGCCAGAUGUCCCUGUUAUGCUUCCAAGUGGGCAAGGGCAGCCCUCCAUUCCCGUGACAGCCCGCCCUUUCGAGCUUCUGUAGGCCGUGUUCAGUAUCAGCUCCUGCCUGUCAUAGAACGGGUCAGUCCGGAGGAAGAUGAGGGGUCUGUUGGUCUCAGAUCCGUUUGCUCGGGCACGAUGGGAGCUGAUGGGCCGCGGUCAGCGCGGACGGUGAGCAGCCGCCCAGGGGAGGCCCGCCGCCCUUGCAUUGUGAGUUACCAGGAUGGUCUUUCUGUGUGACACACACGUGCAGCUUCCAGACACCUGAGCUGCACCAGUGAGCACACCCAGGACACGCUGAGGAAACCCAAGGCUGAAGCCCCACACGAGCUGCCGGCAGUGAUUUCCAAUGUGGCGACGUGGCUUGUAUGGCAGGGUCUCCAUCGCACGCUGCAUUUCAGCCUCUGAGGCCACAGCUUAUCCACUGACAGUUUGACGUGUGUCUGUCACUGCUGCCCACGUGCAGCCGGUGCCCACCCACGUGCGCCCUUUUGAAAAGGUUUCCCCUCUGCUGUGAUUAAAGUCUGCCUGGCUGUGCAAACGUG
Molecule: non-coding RNA, 1724 nt
Organism: Microcebus murinus (gray mouse lemur)
Lineage: Eukaryota; Metazoa; Chordata; Mammalia; Primates; Cheirogaleidae
Source: RefSeq, a predicted model, not a curated record